This 499-nucleotide ribosomal RNA is filed under the name Veillonella parvula. RNAcentral's name for it is "bacterial SSU rRNA". It matches the Rfam family "Bacterial small subunit ribosomal RNA", at positions 28 to 496 of the family's 1533-position model. Lineage: Bacteria; Bacillati; Bacillota; Negativicutes; Veillonellales; Veillonellaceae. The record is from RNAcentral.
GACGAACGCUGGCGGCGUGCUUAACACAUGCAAGUCGAACGAAGAGCGAUGGAAGCUUGCUUCUAUCAAUCUUAGUGGCGAACGGGUGAGUAACGCGUAAUCAACCUGCCCUUCAGAGGGGGACAACAGUUGGAAACGACUGCUAAUACCGCAUACGAUCUAAUCUCGGCAUCGAGGAUAGAUGAAAGGUGGCCUCUACAUGUAAGCUAUCACUGAAGGAGGGGAUUGCGUCUGAUUAGCUAGUUGGAGGGGUAACGGCCCACCAAGGCGAUGAUCAGUAGCCGGUCUGAGAGGAUGAACGGCCACAUUGGGACUGAGACACGGCCCAGACUCCUACGGGAGGCAGCAGUGGGGAAUCUUCCGCAAUGGACGAAAGUCUGACGGAGCAACGCCGCAUGAGCGAUGACGGCCUUCGGGUUGUAAAGCUCUGUUAAUCGGGACGAAAGGCCUUCUUGCGAAUAGUGAGAAGGAUUGACGGUACCGGAAUAGAAAGCCACGG